This is a long non-coding RNA of Jaculus jaculus (lesser Egyptian jerboa), 734 nucleotides long. RefSeq lists it as uncharacterized. The transcript is spliced from 2 exons. NCBI's taxonomy places the organism in Eukaryota, Metazoa, Chordata, Mammalia, Rodentia, Dipodidae. The record is from RefSeq and is a predicted model, not a curated record.
GAGACCCCAGCAGCAGCAGCAGCAGCUGAUGAUGAAGAGAGAGGCAGUGGCAGAGGGGGGGCACCUUUUAUUUCUAUUUUUAAAGGGACAGGACACUAAUUUUACCCCACUUCAACCUUGAAUUGGGGGGGGUGGGGGGAAGGCGGCUGAGUUCCUUCCCCCACCCUCCAGCUCCGAGCCCUGAGAGAGGGAUUGAGCCUGAGAGAGGAGGAGAAGGAGUUUCUUCUUCUUCGAAAACCCCCAUCCACGACUCCUACCCCCUCAGCCCUGCACUCGCCUGCCUUCCGAGCCCCCUCCACCCUCCUUCCCUUUGGCCGUGAGCGGAGGAGAAAAAGCGAGCAGAACCUCUUAGCAACACAGACCCUAGCUGCUGCCGAGGCUGCCGCUGCCGCCUGGCCCUGGCUGGAGACAUCUCCCUACACCCAGGAGCAGCCACUUCCCCAGCUCGCCUCCUCCUUCGCCUCCUCCUCCUCCACUCCCCCCCCUUUAUUACCCUUUGUGUCAUCCUCCACAGCUCCAGGGAAGGCACUCAAAAGUGGGGGGCAGGAAAGACAAUUAUCAGCUUUCCAGUUUUCUAUGGAUAUGAAGAUUUACACCUAGUCAUCAGUGGGACCCCAUGAAGUCAGCCAGAAAGCCUAUAUCCAACUUAUGUAUCUCUGUAAACUCAUCUGUAUUUUGAAUGUAUGUGAAAAAUAGAUUGUACUUAGGUGUUCAUUAAAUAUCCAUGGAGCUUC